GGAUGCGAUCAUACCAGCACUAAAUCACCGGAUCCCAUCAGAACUCCGAAGUUAAGCAUGCUUGGGCGAGAGUAGUACUAGGAUGGGUGACCUCCUGGGAAGUCCUCGUGUUGCAUUCC
This 119-nucleotide ribosomal RNA is filed under the name Triticum aestivum (bread wheat). The record is from RNAcentral. RNAcentral also lists the same sequence under 1 other name. Lineage: Eukaryota; Viridiplantae; Streptophyta; Magnoliopsida; Poales; Poaceae.